Molecule: long non-coding RNA, 1295 nt
Filed under: Selaginella moellendorffii
Lineage: Eukaryota; Viridiplantae; Streptophyta; Lycopodiopsida; Selaginellales; Selaginellaceae
Description: long non-coding RNA (SMOE_LNC000956)
Source: RNAcentral
CUCCCCGCCGCCCCCGGUAUACAAAUAUAAGUCACCUCCUCCCCCCGUCUACCACUACAGCUCGCCACCACCGCCGGUUUACAAGUACAAGUCGCCACCACCACCUGUGUACCAUGCCCCGGCUCCUGUUUACAAGUACGAGUCGCCCCCCCCACCGGUUUACAAGUACAGCUCCCCUCCACCGCCGGUCUACAAAUAUAAGUCGCCACCACCUCCUGUGUACCACGCCCCGGCUCCUGUUUACAAGUACAAGUCACCUCCUCCCCCCGUCUACCACUACAGCUCGCCACCACCGCCGGUUUACAAGUACAAGUCACCACCACCACCUGUGUACCACGCCCCGGCACCAGUUUACAAGUACAACUCGCCACCACCCCCAGUUUACAAGUACAGCUCGCCACCACCACCUGUUUACAAAUACAAGUCGCCACCACCACCUGUGUACCACACCCCGGCUCCUGUUUACAAGUACGAGUCGCCUCCUCCGCCGGUGUACAAGUACAGCUCCCCGCCGCCACCGGUCUACAAAUAUAAGUCGCCACCACCACCUGUGUACCACGUCCCAGCGCCGGUUUACAAGUACGAAUCUCCUCCGCCACCGGUGUACAAGUACAGCUCUCCGCCACCACCAGUCUACAAGUAUAAGUCGCCACCACCACCUGUGUACCACGCCCCUGCUCCAGUCUACAAGUACAAAUCUCCUCCGCCACCGGUGUACAAGUACAGCUCGCCACCACCACCGGUUUACAAAUACAAGUCGCCUCCUCCACCUGUUUACCACGCCCCGGCUCCAGUCUACAAGUACAAAUCCCCGCCACCACCGGUGUAUCACUACAGCUCCCCGCCACCACCUGUUUACAAGUAUAAGUCUCCACCGCCGCCUGUUUACCACGCUCCCGCCCCAGUCUACAAGUAUAAGUCACCGCCGCCACCUGUUUACCACUACAGCUCCCCACCACCCCCGGUUUACAAGUACAAAUCUCCUCCUCCCCCUGUCUACCACGCUCCAGCACCGGUUUACAAGUAUAAGUCUCCGCCGCCACCGGUCUAUCACUACAGCUCCCCGCCACCACCGGUGUACAAGUACAAGUCGCCACCACCGCCUGUGUACCACGCUCCAGCACCGGUUUACAAGUAUAAGUCGCCUCCUCCACCUGUUUACCACUACAGCUCGCCACCACCGCCGGUCUACAAGUACAAAUCCCCGCCACCUCCUGUGUACCACGCCCCGGCUCCAGUUUACAAGUAUAAGUCACCACCGCCUCCGGUCUACAAGUACCAAUCCCCGCCUCCAC